This 438-nucleotide ribosomal RNA is filed under the name Kryptonesticus eremita. RNAcentral's name for it is "partial 16S ribosomal RNA". It matches the Rfam family "Bacterial large subunit ribosomal RNA", at positions 1831 to 2596 of the family's 2925-position model. The record is from RNAcentral. Lineage: Eukaryota; Metazoa; Arthropoda; Arachnida; Araneae; Nesticidae.
UUUUUAAUGAAAUAAUAUUAAAUAAAGUCUGCUCAAUGAAAUAAAUAGCCGCAGAAAAUUUACUGUGCUAAGGUAGCAUAAUCAUUUGUCUUUUAAUUAAAGACUAGAACGAAUGGCUUAACAAUUAAAUAAUUUUUUUCCCUAUAAAAUUUUAAUUUAACUUAAGCAUAAAAAUAUGCUUAUAAAUAUAAUAGACGACAAGACCCUAUUGAACUUAACUGAUGUUAAGCUGGGGAAGCUAAAUAAUAAUUAUUUUAUUAAUUUAUUUAUAAUAAAAACCUCAAUACAAGUAAAUAUAAUCAAGUUACCAUAGGGAUAACAGCGUAAUAAUUUUCUAAAGCUCUUAUUUAAAAAAAAGUUUACGACCUCGAUGUUGAAUUAAUUUUCCUUUCUAGCGCAAGCGCUAAAACAAGUUAAGUCUGUUCGACUUUACAAAAU